Molecule: long non-coding RNA, 1617 nt
Organism: Nicotiana attenuata
Lineage: Eukaryota; Viridiplantae; Streptophyta; Magnoliopsida; Solanales; Solanaceae
Exons: 2
Source: RefSeq, a predicted model, not a curated record
UACCCACAACACACAAAAGCCCUAAUCUCUCAAGAGCAAACGACGCCUCACUGUUCCUCUUCUCCAAACAACCCAAAUCACCCUCUGCCUCGCCCAAACUCGCCCGAGUUCACCCCAAAAGCUCACCUCACGCGCUCCCCCCUUCUCUCCUCUUGCAAUAUGGGUGUAACGGCCUCUGACAACAACAAGAUUCCCUCCUUCACUCGCCCGUUUUCAAGCUAUUUCACGCGGUUGGAAGGAUCUAGAAGAUGGGUGUUGGAUGAGUGAGAGGCGUCGGAUCGAUCUCAUUCAAUCCGAGCCUCACAUUCAUCAUGUGCUCGUUUUCAAAAGGGCCUUAUCCGAUUUCUUGAAGAGGAAGAAAGAACCCGGAGGUUGGAUAUAUAAGGGAGCAUUUUCGGGUAAAAAAGGGGGGAUUCUUUUUUUAGAGAGGAUUUUCAGAGAGGUUUUCUUUUCUUUUUUUCGGAAGUUUGGAGAGGUAAAAAAAAAAAGAAAUUUCUAGAGCUCUUUGUUUUUUUCCAGAUUACUCACGUUUGGAUUGCAUUUCAGAAAAAUAAAAUACAAAAAAAAAAAAAUCGAGUUUGAUUUUUAUUCGAGCUUUGUUUCAGAAAAAUCAGAAAAUCAUCAAAAGAUUUCAACAUUUGUUUUGAUUUUUGGUUCUCAAGAAUGGAGUUUGAUUGAAGUUUAAGUGUGAGUCUGAGAUUUGGAGAGAAACAGUUAAAAAAAAUCCCUUAGUUUUUCCCUUUUGAGUUCUUCCGCAUUUUUCAGUUCGAUUCCGGAGAAGAAGGUUUUUUUAAAAAAUAUUUCAGUUUCUUUUUGCUUUGAUCUUAGUUUCGUUUCAAAAAUCUAAAAAAUCUAAAAAGAUUUCAUCCUCUUUCUCUGACUUCCUUCAAAAAUGAAGAUUGAUUGAGCCAAAAUCAAGGUUGCCAUUCUGUUUUGAUUCCUGCUUGUCUGCUGCUGUUGUUUCAAGUGUUCGUAGUCAGGUUUAUUUGUAUUCAAGUCCAAACAAGUUUAAUCGAAGAAUUUCGCAUUCUCAGCACCUGAUUGACGUUCGCACCAAUUGGCUUCCUUGUUUCAUGAUAAAAGGCACUUUAAUCUUCACGUUGUAAGAGUCAGGCAUCUGCUGCAUUCAUGAGCAGCUCCUUGGAAUAUUUUGUCUGUCUCCUGAGGUUGUACUUGAAAUAGGUUGGUUAAUGAUCGAGUUGAUUUUCAAAAGCAUAUGUUAUGUUCAUUCUUGUUAGAUCUUGGUCUAAAGUGGUGUUGAAACUCAAUUGUUUCACUGAUUGUACAUGUUCAGAUUGGCUCUAUUUUCCUUCUCUUGUUCGAAGUUUGUCUGCAUUGUUACUGCUAUAGGAAUUCUGCUCUUUCAAGCUGUUAAAAGGUCAAUUUGAGCAAUAAAUUAUGCUGAGAACGUGCAGUUUUUUGGACAUUUGUUUGGACUGUUAGACAUGCUGAAAAUCUGCCUUGUUUUGUACCGUUGGGGCAGCAUAUUUGCACAACUUUGAGCGUAAGUUUUGCAUUGAUUUGGUCUGCAGCAGCUCUGAAUUACUAGGCAGCUUACGUGUAUAACUGAAGUUUGUUUGGUUUCGCGAUCGUUUCAUUAAUCUUCUCUGUUUGUGA